CAUCGCCGUGAUGGCCGGCCUGGGCAUCGCCGCUGAAUUACUGAGUAUGCAACGCUCCGAAGGCCCCUUCGCCGGCAUGACCAUUGCCCAGUGGCAGCAGCAGAUUGCCGCCAUCACUGAGGUGGUG
Molecule: small nucleolar RNA, 127 nt
Filed under: Oryza sativa (Asian cultivated rice)
Lineage: Eukaryota; Viridiplantae; Streptophyta; Magnoliopsida; Poales; Poaceae
Description: Z236 small nucleolar RNA
Source: RNAcentral